Long non-coding RNA from Dioscorea cayenensis subsp. rotundata (Guinea yam), 816 nucleotides. RefSeq lists it as uncharacterized. The transcript has 2 exons. NCBI's taxonomy places the organism in Eukaryota, Viridiplantae, Streptophyta, Magnoliopsida, Dioscoreales, Dioscoreaceae. The record is from RefSeq and is a predicted model, not a curated record.
UGAAGAUAGCUAGCAAGUACAGCAUCCAAUUGAUGGCAUUGUUCUAUGUGAAUGAUACCCUAGGGAAUGAUACCCCUGGAAACAUCCAUACAGGGUUAUAUGAGCCUUCGUGGCUUGUAGAUAUUGCGAAUCUCUCGGUCCUCAUACAUCUAAUUUGCGGAUAUCAGGUAUUUGCACAACCCCUCUUCGCACGGCACAAGAAAUGUCUAACUGCAAGAUGGCCGAAUUCAAGCUUCUCGAACAAUGUCUACACUGUAAAACUUCCCUUUACUGCAUCAAAAUCAUUGUAGUUCACCCUUUGCAAGCUUCUUCAAUGCAAUUCUAGGCUUGUUUGGUGCACUGAGCUUCUGACCGCUAACCGUGCACUACCUAUUGACUAUGUACAUCACUCAAGCAAAGGUGAAGAAGGGACACCUUAAGUGGAUAAUUCUCCAAGCCAUGAGUUUGAUCUGUCUUUUUCUUUCACUUGCCAGUGCUAUAGGUUCAAUUGCAGAUAUCAUUGGACAUUUUAAGAAUGCUAAAUUUUUCAAGAUUGAACUCUAAUAUAUCUGUCUAUAUAUAUAUAUAUAUAUAUAUGUUUUUCUGGGUAACUUCAAAUAUUCAGUUCUUUGCUCUGAAAACUUGUUAAUUUCACUAAUUUCGAUCUGAUAGGCUGAUACAGUUUCUCCCAUUAAUUGCUAUAAAAUAGUUAUUUAGACAUGUGAUACAGAUUACAUUUCUAGCCGUUCUUGGUGGGAUGCUUAGCUUUAACAGCAUUGCAAGGAUUGGCAUCUAUCAGCAUGUUGAGAACCUCUCUCAUGGUUGGACGCGCUGACG